RNAcentral lists this ribosomal RNA (497 nucleotides) under uncultured bacterium. Its description in RNAcentral is "partial 16S ribosomal RNA". It matches the Rfam family "Bacterial small subunit ribosomal RNA", at positions 28 to 507 of the family's 1533-position model. The record is from RNAcentral.
GAUGAACGCUGGCGGCGUGCCCAAUACAUGCAAGUCGAGCGAACGGACGAUAAUCUUGCUUCUCUGAUGUUAGCGGCUGACGUGUGUGUAACACGUGUAUAACCUACCUAUUUUUCUUGUAUAACUUCGUGAAUCCGUUUCUUAUACCGUAUAAUAUUUUGUACCUCAUUGUUCAUUAGUUCUUUUCGCUCUUUCUGUCACUUUUAGCUUUUUCCGCGCUGGAUUAGCUAGUUGGUAAGGGAAAGGCUUACCAAGGCGACGAUGCGUAUCCGACGUGAGAGGGUGAUAGGCGACACUGGAAGUGAGACAGGGUCCAGACGACUACGGGAGGCAGCAGUAGGGAAUGUUCGGAAAAGGGCGAAAGCAUGACGGAGCAAGGCCGCGUGAGAGAAGAAGGACUUCGGAUCGUAAAACUAUGUUAGUAGGGAAGAAAAUAAGUGGAAGAAAAUGUGGACAGAAUGACGGUACCGAAACAGAAAGCAACGGCUAACUACGUG